This 682-nucleotide ribosomal RNA is filed under the name uncultured archaeon. RNAcentral's name for it is "bacterial SSU rRNA". It matches the Rfam family "Archaeal small subunit ribosomal RNA", at positions 697 to 1375 of the family's 1478-position model. The record is from RNAcentral.
GUGAGGGAUGAAAGCUGGGGGAGCCAACCGGAUUAGAUACCCGGGUAGUCCCAGCUGUAAACGAUGCAGACUCGAUGAUGCAUUGGCAUAAUAGCCAGUGCAGUGUCGCAGGGAAGCCGUUAAGUCUGCCGCCUGGGGAAGUACGUACGCAAGUAUGAAACUUAAAGGAAUUGGCGGGGGAGCACCACAAGGGGUGAAGCCUGCGGUUCAAUUGGAGUCAACGCCAGAAAUCUUACCCGGAGAGACAGCAGAAUGAAGGUCAAGCUGAAGACUUUACCAGACAAGCUGAGAGGUGGUGCAUGGCCGUCGCCAGCUCGUGCCGUGAGAUGUCCUGUUAAGUCAGGUAACGAGCGAGAUCCCUGCCACUAGUUGCUAUCAUUAUUCUCAGGAAUAGUGGGGCGAAUUAGUGGGACUGCCGUUGUUAAAACGGAGGAAGGAAGGGGCUGCGGCAGGUCAGUAUGCCCCGAAACUCUGGGGCCACACGCGGGCUGCAAUGGUAGUGACAAUGAGUUCCAAACUCGAAAGAGAGUGGCAAUCUCUAAACGCUACCACAGUUAUGACUGAGGGCUGUAACUCGCCCUCACGAAUAUGGAAUUCCUAGUAACCGCGUGUCAUUACCGCGCGGUGAAUACGUCCCUGCUCCUUGCACACACCGCCCGUCGUUUCAUCGAAGUUUGCUUUA